UCAUGCAGGAUUGUUGCAUCGUGUGCCAUCUUGGAGUACCACAGAAAGUCCCUACAAGCAAGAAGUCUCUCACCAGAUACACCCCCUCAACAUUGGACUUCACAGCCUCCGUAACUAUCGUCGGCUCUUCCUUCUCUACCCUGUUGUUUUUCUGA
This 155-nucleotide long non-coding RNA is filed under the name Callithrix jacchus (white-tufted-ear marmoset). RNAcentral's name for it is "lncRNA (ENSCJAG00000070230.1)". Lineage: Eukaryota; Metazoa; Chordata; Mammalia; Primates; Cebidae. The record is from RNAcentral.